CAGUACGCAUUUAACAAAUACCCUAAGAAACAAACUGAGGGGAAAAAAAAAAAACCUUUCCUCAAGCACUGAGUACUUCCUUUUUCAGCCCAAUAUAGGUCACCGCCCAGAUUAAUCUGGAGGGACCACAUCAAUCGAUGGUAUUUAUCGAGCGCUUACCGUGUGCUUGGGAGAGUUCAAUUUAACAACAGUCAGCAAGCACAUUCCGUGCCCGAGGGUUUACAGUCGAGAGAGGAAGUACAAAGUCAUACGAUGGGAGACCAAGUCAACCCCCGGAAUCAGUCUUACGGGGCUUUUCUGGGGGUUGGUUGGACAGACGGGGAUGGCGAGGGGGGCGAUUUAAAGGUCUACAGCGUGACAUCCAGUCGUUCGGUUUUUCAAACCUCCCGCCCUACCCAGCGCCGGUGGAGGUGGAUAUUUUUUCAGCUCUGCUGUGCAACUGUAAGUUAUUUUCUCCACUAAACAUUCAAAGGUAGGCUGGCGCCUUCCUGAUCGCCAGAGGCUCUGCAAGUGAGUGGAAAACGUAACGGCCAGCACUUCGCUCUAGCCUCGGUCAAGACGAGAGCCGGAGCCGGCGUGACCCAGUGGGACAGAAGCGGGAGCACCUCGAGAUUGGCCGGCGAGGAGCGCGGGACUGGGGACUCCAGGUUUGCAGGGAUCGUUCUUAACUGCAUCUCUCCUCACACUUUCCCGGGCUCCCAGUGCCGUCACGGGCACUGCGGGCAUUCAUCAGUUACUGCCGCUGAAGAAAACCAACUCUGCCGUUCUAUCAGCUAAGAAAACGGAGCAAAGGACCCGGGACAACCGCUGCAAAAAGUCAGAAGAGGAGGGAACUGAGGCCCAGAGAAGUGAAGUGACUCGC
Long non-coding RNA from Ornithorhynchus anatinus (platypus), 862 nucleotides. RefSeq lists it as uncharacterized. Lineage: Eukaryota; Metazoa; Chordata; Mammalia; Monotremata; Ornithorhynchidae. The transcript has 3 exons. The record is from RefSeq and is a predicted model, not a curated record.